AGCGUACACGGUGGAUGCCCUGGCAGUCAGAGGCGAUGAAGGACGUGCUAAUCUGCGAAAAGCGUCGGUAAGGUGAUAUGAACCGUUAUAACCGGCGAUGUCCGAAUGGGGAAACCCAGUGUGAUUCGUCACACUAUCGUUAACUGAAUACAUAGGUUAACGAGGCGAACCGGGGGAACUGAAACAUCUAAGUACCCCGAGGAAAAGAAAUCAACCGAGAUUCCCCCAGUAGCGGCGAGCGAACGGGGAGCAGCCCAGAGUCUGAAUCAGCUUGUGUGUUAGUGGAACGGUCUGGAAAGUCCGACGGUACAGGGUGAUAGUCCCGUACACCAAAAUGCACAGGCUGUGAACUCGAAGAGUAGGGCGGGACACGUGGUAUCCUGUCUGAAUAUGGGGGGACCAUCCUCCAAGGCUAAAUACUCCUGACUGACCGAUAGUGAACCAGUACCGUGAGGGAAAGGCGAAAAGAACCCCGGCGAGGGGAGUGAAAAAGAACCUGAAACCGUGUACGUACAAGCAGUGGGAGCACCUUCGGGUGUGACUGCGUACCUUUUGUAUAAUGGGUCAGCGACUUAUAUUCUGUAGCAAGGUUAACCGUAUAGGGGAGCCGCAGGGAAACCGAGUCUUAACUGGGCGUUAAGUUGCAGGGUAUAGACCCGAAACCCGGUGAUCUAGCCAUGGGCAGGUUGAAGGUUGGGUAACACUAACUGGAGGACCGAACCGACUAAUGUUGAAAAAUUAGCGGAUGACUUGUGGCUGGGGGUGAAAGGCCAAUCAAACCGGGAGAUAGCUGGUUCUCCCCGAAAGCUAUUUAGGUAGCGCCUCGUGAACUCAUCUUCGGGGGUAGAGCACUGUUUCGGCUAGGGGGUCAUCCCGACUUACCAACCCGAUGCAAACUACGAAUACCGAAGAAUGUUAUCACGGGAGACACACGGCGGGUGCUAACGUCCGUCGUGAAGAGGGAAACAACCCAGACCGCCAGCUAAGGUCCCAAAGUCAUGGUUAAGUGGGAAACGAUGUGGGAAGGCACAGACAGCCAGGAUGUUGGCUUAGAAGCAGCCAUCAUUUAAAGAAAGCGUAAUAGCUCACUGGUCGAGUCGGCCUGCGCGGAAGAUGUAACGGGGCUAAACCAUGCACCGAAGCUGCGGCAGCGACACUAUGUGUUGUUGGGUAGGGGAGCGUUCUGUAAGCCUGCGAAGGUGACCUGUGAGGGUUGCUGGAGGUAUCAGAAGUGCGAAUGCUGACAUAAGUAACGAUAAAGCGGGUGAAAAGCCCGCUCGCCGGAAGACCAAGGGUUCCUGUCCAACGUUAAUCGGGGCAGGGUGAGUCGACCCCUAAGGCGAGGCCGAAAGGCGUAGUCGAUGGGAAACAGGUUAAUAUUCCUGUACUUGGUGUUACUGCGAAGGGGGGACGGAGAAGGCUAUGUUAGCCGGGCGACGGUUGUCCCGGUUUAAGCAUGUAGGCUGAUUGUCCAGGCAAAUCCGGAUAAUCAAGGCUGAGGUGUGAUGACGAGGCACUACGGUGCUGAAGUAACAAAUGCCCUGCUUCCAGGAAAAGCCUCUAAGCAUCAGGUAACAUUAAAUCGUACCCCAAACCGACACAGGUGGUCAGGUAGAGAAUACCAAGGCGCUUGAGAGAACUCGGGUGAAGGAACUAGGCAAAAUGGUGCCGUAACUUCGGGAGAAGGCACGCUGGUGUGUAGGUGAAGUCCCUGCGGAUGGAGCUGAGACCAGUCGAAGAUACCAGCUGGCUGCAACUGUUUAUUAAAAACACAGCACUGUGCAAACACGAAAGUGGACGUAUACGGUGUGACGCCUGCCCGGUGCCGGAAGGUUAAUUGAUGGGGUUAUCCGUAAGGAGAAGCUCUUGAUCGAAGCCCCGGUAAACGGCGGCCGUAACUAUAACGGUCCUAAGGUAGCGAAAUUCCUUGUCGGGUAAGUUCCGACCUGCACGAAUGGCGUAAUGAUGGCCAGGCUGUCUCCACCCGAGACUCAGUGAAAUUGAACUCGCUGUGAAGAUGCAGUGUACCCGCGGCAAGACGGAAAGACCCCGUGAACCUUUACUAUAGCUUGACACUGAACAUUGAGCCUUGAUGUGUAGGAUAGGUGGGAGGCUUUGAAGCGUGGACGCCAGUCUGCGUGGAGCCAACCUUGAAAUACCACCCUUUAAUGUUUGAUGUUCUAACGUUGGCCCCUGACCGGGGUUGCGGACAGUGUCUGGUGGGUAGUUUGACUGGGGCGGUCUCCUCCCAAAGCGUAACGGAGGAGCACGAAGGUUAGCUAAUCCUGGUCGGACAUCAGGAGGUUAGUGCAAUGGCAUAAGCUAGCUUGACUGCGAGCGUGACGGCGCGAGCAGGUGCGAAAGCAGGUCAUAGUGAUCCGGUGGUUCUGAAUGGAAGGGCCAUCGCUCAACGGAUAAAAGGUACUCCGGGGAUAACAGGCUGAUACCGCCCAAGAGUUCAUAUCGACGGCGGUGUUUGGCACCUCGAUGUCGGCUCAUCACAUCCUGGGGCUGAAGUAGGUCCCAAGGGUAUGGCUGUUCGCCAUUUAAAGUGGUACGCGAGCUGGGUUUAGAACGUCGUGAGACAGUUCGGUCCCUAUCUGCCGUGGGCGCUGGAGAAUUGAGGGGGGCUGCUCCUAGUACGAGAGGACCGGAGUGGACGCAUCACUGGUGUUCGGGUUGUCAUGCCAAUGGCACUGCCCGGUAGCUAAAUGCGGAAGAGAUAAGUGCUGAAAGCAUCUAAGCACGAAACUUGCCCCGAGAUGAGUUCU
Molecule: ribosomal RNA, 2771 nt
Filed under: Klebsiella pneumoniae
Lineage: Bacteria; Pseudomonadati; Pseudomonadota; Gammaproteobacteria; Enterobacterales; Enterobacteriaceae
Description: bacterial LSU rRNA
Rfam family: Bacterial large subunit ribosomal RNA
Source: RNAcentral